CUCCUUUCAGGGUCGCACCUGGAGAGUUUCCAGGACUCUACCAGUCCCGACUAUGGAGGGAGAGUCAAGCAGAGACAUAUCCAUUUCAUUUCUAGCUUGGGCAGUGGCUAGUGAGUGGAAGGCAAUCCGCUACAAGU
Non-coding RNA from Ornithorhynchus anatinus (platypus), 137 nucleotides. Lineage: Eukaryota; Metazoa; Chordata; Mammalia; Monotremata; Ornithorhynchidae. The record is from Rfam.